GAUGAACGCUGGCGGCGUGUCUAAUACAUGCAAGUCGAGCGAACAGAUGAGGAGCUUGCUCCUCUGACGUUAGCGGCGGACGGGUGAGUAACACGUGGAUAACCUACCUAUAAGACUGGGAUAACUUCGGGAAACCGGAGCUAAUACCGGAUAAUAUAUUGAACCGCAUGGUUCAAUAGUGAAAGACGGUUUUGCUGUCACUUAUAGAUGGAUCCGCGCCGCAUUAGCUAGUUGGUAAGGUAACGGCUUACCAAGGCAACGAUGCGUAGCCGACCUGAGAGGGUGAUCGGCCACACUGGAACUGAGACACGGUCCAGACUCCUACGGGAGGCAGCAGUAGGGAAUCUUCCGCAAUGGGCGAAAGCCUGACGGAGCAACGCCGCGUGAGUGAUGAAGGUCUUCGGAUCGUAAAACUCUGUUAUUAGGGAAGAACAAAUGUGUAAGUAACUAUGCACGUCUUGACGGUACCUAAUCAGAAAGCCCCGGCUAACUACGUG
Molecule: ribosomal RNA, 497 nt
Filed under: uncultured bacterium
Lineage: Bacteria
Description: partial 16S ribosomal RNA
Rfam family: Bacterial small subunit ribosomal RNA
Source: RNAcentral